CCCCUGUGGUGCUGGAUGCUGUUGUGCAUGAACAGCUCUCCAGUGGAUUCGAUGGGCCCCAGCAAUCUUGUGAUUUAUGCAGGGAGGGUGCUUCUCCUCAGCAGCUGCCAUAGCCCGGUCGCUGGUACAUGA
This 132-nucleotide small nucleolar RNA is filed under the name Pan troglodytes (chimpanzee). RNAcentral describes it as "Small nucleolar RNA SNORA84". It matches the Rfam family "Small nucleolar RNA SNORA84". The record is from Rfam by way of RNAcentral. Lineage: Eukaryota; Metazoa; Chordata; Mammalia; Primates; Hominidae.